This 253-nucleotide ribosomal RNA is filed under the name uncultured bacterium. RNAcentral's name for it is "partial 16S ribosomal RNA". It matches the Rfam family "Bacterial small subunit ribosomal RNA", at positions 524 to 776 of the family's 1533-position model. The record is from RNAcentral.
UACGGAGGGGGUUAGCGUUGUUCGGAAUGACUGGGCGUAAAGCGCGCGUAGGCGGGCUGGAAAGUUGGGGGUGAAAUCCCGGGGCUCAACCCCGGAAUGGCCUUCAAAACUCCCAGCCUAGAGUUCGAGAGAGGUGAGUGGAAUUCCGAGUGUAGAGGUGAAAUUCGUAGAUAUUCGGAGGAACACCAGUGGCGAAGGCGGCUCACUGGCUCGACACUGACGCUGAGGCACGAAAGCGUGGGGAGCAAACAGG